This 119-nucleotide ribosomal RNA is filed under the name Helianthus annuus (common sunflower). Lineage: Eukaryota; Viridiplantae; Streptophyta; Magnoliopsida; Asterales; Asteraceae. The record is from RNAcentral.
GGUUACGAUCAUACCAGCACUAAUGCACCGGAUCACAUCAGAACUGCGCAGUUAAUCGUGCUUGGGCGAGAGUAGUACUAGGAUGGGUGACCCCCUGGGAAGGCCUCGUGUGACAACCC